CUUAAGUCUGUGCUCCAAAGCAUUCAAAAAUUGAGACAGUUUAAGUUGGAAAUUUCAUUUUCAGUUUUAUGCUCAAAAGCAUUUUGAUUAUAAAGAUAAUUUAACAUCAUUUGCCAGCUGUAGGUAAUCACAAUUUAGUAGUUAACCUAAUUCAUGAUGCUAAUAAUACUCAUUUCAUACCCGAAGGGCUUCUAGGUCUGGCCUUAGUCUCUUUAUGUUGACCGCUGAGAAUUUGAUCUUAAAUCAGAAUCCCUUUCGUUCUGAUGGGACUGAAUCCGGGACAAGGUGUUUGAGAGCCGUGGUGCAGUGAAAAGCCAGUGUGAGGGCUGGUGAAACAGUGGGCUGACAUGCCCGGGAGCAGUGCCAGGGCGCUGUUGGUGCUGCCCGUUUGGGCUCAUGCUGUACAAGCUGUGUGAGCAUGGCCCAACUGGCUGCUGGGAAUGCCUCAGCGACAGCCCUGGACUACUGUACCAGCAUCCAGACGAACACACUGCUCUUGGCACAGAGAGAAAGAAACCAGAUGCUCCCCCUUCCAGCCGGGAAUGGACCAUAAGUAAUUGGACAGUUGACUCAAAAGCUGUUUCAUGGACAGGCGUGGGCUAUUCCUUCAUUAUUUCUACAUAAACUAAGCAGGUAAAAGGUCUGGAGUUGAUUUUAAGUGUCAUUUGAAUUUGAAAGCUGUUACUGUAAACCCACAUCAUGCGUGGCCAUAUCAACCGUUUGGUAC
Long non-coding RNA from Cyprinus carpio carpio, 727 nucleotides. The record is from Ensembl. NCBI's taxonomy places the organism in Eukaryota, Metazoa, Chordata, Actinopteri, Cypriniformes, Cyprinidae.